Non-coding RNA from Pseudomonas lutea, 87 nucleotides. The record is from Rfam. Lineage: Bacteria; Pseudomonadati; Pseudomonadota; Gammaproteobacteria; Pseudomonadales; Pseudomonadaceae.
UGUUAUGGCGGCUGUGCGUGGGAGACCCUCGGGUCUGCCGGGUUCCUAACGUCCCGGUUCGCCAACCCGCGUACAGCUGCCACCCUU